UCCUCAUUUCAAGGGCUGCCGUAAGCACGUACCACCACAGAGGGCCAGACAAGCAGAGAUGUAACUCCUCCUGGUCCUGGAGGCUGGAAGUCCAGGAUCAUGGUGUCCUUGGCAGGGCUGGCUCCCUCUGAGGGCUGUGAGGAAGACUGGCUUCCAGACCUCUCUCCCCAGCUCCAGGGCAGUGGUCUCUCCCCGUGCCUCCACAUCAUCUUCACUCUUGUGUAUCUACAUCCAGAUUUCUACCACAGUUUAGCCAGUGGGCCACCUCUGCUGGAGUUUGCUGUGGAUCUGUGGACAUGCAAGGUUGGCCCGAUCUUUAUCCCCUUCCUUAUGACCUCCUUUCAUCAGGCUGCUCGCUUAACUAAUAUGCCUAGUGUCUGGUCACCGUCUUCACCUGCUCCAUGGCAACAUUUUUUCUGGUGGCUGUUUUUCAUCUAACUGGAUGCGCUGUGCUGAAGUCACUGGUUUCGUGGAAGGUCAUGAGGGAAAACCAAC
This is a long non-coding RNA of Nyctereutes procyonoides (raccoon dog), 495 nucleotides long. RefSeq lists it as uncharacterized. Lineage: Eukaryota; Metazoa; Chordata; Mammalia; Carnivora; Canidae. The record is from RefSeq and is a predicted model, not a curated record. The transcript has 4 exons.